CCGCUCCUCAACCUGCUAUAGCUCCAUAUCUCACUCAGUGGAAAAGCUCCAGUCUUUUUUUUUUUUUUUUUUUUUUUGACAAAGUCUUGCUCUGUCACCCACACUGGAGUGCAGUGGUGUGAUCUAGGCUCACUGCAACCUCCACCUCCUGGGUUCAAGUGAUUCUCUAGCCUCAGCCUCCCGAGUAGCCUGCCACCACUCCUGGCUAAUUUUUUGUAUUUUUAGUAGAGAUGGGGUUUCAUUAUGUUGGUCAGGCUAGUCUUGAACUCCUGAGCGCCACUGAUCUGCCUGCCUCAGCCUCCCAACGUGCUAGGAUUGCAGGUGUGAGCCACUGCACCCGGCCCAGUCUUUAAGGCCCAACAUGAUGACCUCCUCUGGGUCUGAAUUAAUGUAGUUUUGAUUCCCCCUACAACUUCCCUGUUGGGAAUUUGCUGCCAAGCUCCUGCUGUACCCCCAGAGAGGGGAGACUUCUUGCCUCCAGGAGCUGCUGUUCUAUACUUAGAACAGCGUUUCCCAGCCAAAUCAUCCUUGGACUAACUACCUGUGAUCUAUAGCACAGACCAUAGCUGUGAAGAAAACGGGUAAGGUACCCAACUAGACGCCUAUCUGGACACAAUAGUCAACAGGAUGGAUACAGGGCGUUCUCUCCUGGAGAUGCCAGUCAGUUCAUGGAGUUGACUUGACUUGCCACAGGAGCAUGGAGGAUGGAUCACCUGCACCCUCCUCCCUCCCAUCCUCUUUGCCUCUUUAUGAGAUGCCUCUUUAUGGGAUAGCUCACAAGGUGAACAGCAACUAUCUAAUAAUCCAACUGGUGUCCCCUCUCCAAUAAGGGUUAUAACAAUCUCAUGUGGAUAUGAGAUCCUUACAGGGUAAGAAAUUUCCUCCAGUCUCAUUGUCAGUAGCCAUUUUUACUCCUGAAGCUAUGUACUUGGAGUGCCUGGACCAAGAUGGAGUAAACAAGCAAAUAGGUCCCUGAGUCCUGUGGGCACUCUGGUACUCCUAGCAGAGUGAAGGCUGUUCUGGAGCUAUUAGCAGCAUCACAAGCCACUGCUCACAACCUGGAAGGAGAAUUCCCAUACCCAACCACUGUGUGUCCCAGCGUGUGAUAUCCAUCCACAAGGAGUUCAUUCAAACUGGUCUGUUGAACAAUAAAAUAUCCCAUCAAACACAUUGUCACUGUAUAGCAACAUCCACCACAAACUGAAAUGCUCUCUGGCAACGACACGUGGUUCCAUCCUAACUUUUGAAAUGUAAGAAUGGGCACCACAGAAGAGGGUGGUACCAAGAGCCCAGCUGAGGGUCCUGCACCCCAUCAAGUCACUUCCCAAUCAGUCACCUGCUUACUUUGUGACUUUUCUGGGCCUCUGAUCCCAGUCUCAGUGAGUGCUGUCGACUAGAAUGCAAGCUCCACAAAGGCACAGAUUUUUGUCUGUUAUGUUUGCUGCUGUGUUCCCAGUGUCUAGAGCAGUAUAUGGCAUGCAGAAAGGCCUUGAAAAAUAUUUGACGAGUAGGCGAAUAAAUGGGAGCCCCUAAAAAGCAGUACCCUUGAGCCAGUACUUGCAAGCAGUACUUGGUGAGCAGUCAUAAAGAAUGUGUUAAGUGAAUGAAUACAUUUCCAAAGUUAAAAUGCCCAAACAAACCAAUCCCUUUGAGAGUGGUUGAGUCUCUUCUGUGUUCCUCUGAGUGGAUCAGGGCUUGUAGCAUCAUCCUAAGCAACAUUCCCUAAGUUUUCCUGCAAGGAGCCACAGUGGAGGAAGACUCCAGAUUACAUGACUAAUCUGGGAGGGAUAUUAAGAUGUUACCUGUGGGUCACCAGGACACAUUCUCAUCACCACU
RNAcentral lists this long non-coding RNA (1836 nucleotides) under Homo sapiens (human). Its description in RNAcentral is "non-protein coding lnc-KY-8:1". The record is from RNAcentral. Lineage: Eukaryota; Metazoa; Chordata; Mammalia; Primates; Hominidae.